RNAcentral lists this transfer RNA (75 nucleotides) under Aeromonas phage 4_4572. RNAcentral's name for it is "tRNA-Ile". It matches the Rfam family "tRNA". Rfam says of the family: Transfer RNA (tRNA) molecules are approximately 80 nucleotides in length. Lineage: Duplodnaviria; Heunggongvirae; Uroviricota; Caudoviricetes; Grimontviridae. The record is from RNAcentral.
GCUUCGAUAGCUCAGUGGUAGAGCAAACUCUUGAUAAGGGUUAGGUCGAUGGUUCAAGCCCAUCUCGGAGUACCA